UAGGGAAUCUUCCACAAUGGACGCAAGUCUGAUGGAGCAACGCCGCGUGAGUGAAGAAGGUUUUCGGACCGUAAAGCUCUGUUGUUGGUGAAGAAGGAUAGAGGUAGUAACUGGCCUUUAUUUGACGGUAAUCAACCAGAAAGUCACGGCUAACUACGUGCCAGCAGCCGCGGUAAUACGUAGGUGGCAAGCGUUGUCCGGAUUUAUUGGGCGUAAAGCGAGCGCAGGCGGAAGAAUAAGUCUGAUGUGAAAGCCCUCGGCUUAACCGAGGAAUUGCAUCGGAAACUGUUUUCUUGAGUGCAGAAGAGGAGAGUAGAACUCCAUGUGUAGCGGUGGAAUGCGUAGAUAUAUGGAAGAAUACCAGUGGCGAAGGCGGCUCUCUGGUCUGCAACUGACGCUGAGGCUCGAAAGCAUGGGUAGCGAACAGGAUUAGAUACCCUGGUAGUCCAUGCCGUAAACGAUGAGUGCUAAGUGUUGGGAGGCUUCCGCCUCUCAGUGCUGCAGCUAACGCAUUAAGCACUCCGCCUGGGGGAGUACGACCGCAAGGUU
Molecule: ribosomal RNA, 549 nt
Filed under: uncultured bacterium
Lineage: Bacteria
Description: partial 16S ribosomal RNA
Rfam family: Bacterial small subunit ribosomal RNA
Source: RNAcentral